This 497-nucleotide ribosomal RNA is filed under the name uncultured bacterium. RNAcentral's name for it is "partial 16S ribosomal RNA". It matches the Rfam family "Bacterial small subunit ribosomal RNA", at positions 28 to 507 of the family's 1533-position model. The record is from RNAcentral.
GAUGAACGCUGGCGGCGUGCCUAAUACAUGCAAGUCGAACGGAAAGACGAGAAGCUUGUUCCUCUGACGUUAGCGGAGGGCGGGAGAGUAACACGUGGAUAACCUACUUCUCUUACUGGGAUAACUUCGGAAAACCGGAGAUAAUAGCGGAGAAUAUAUUGAACCGCAUGGUGCAAUAGUGAAAGACGGUUUUGGGGUGACUUAUAGGCGGAUCCGCGCCGCAUUGGCGAGUUGGUAAGGUAACGGCUUACCAAGGCGACGAUGCGGGGGCGACCUGAGAGGGUGAUCGGCCACACUGGAACUUAGACACGGUCCAGACUCCUACGGCAGGCAGCAGUGGGGAACGGUCCGCAAUGGGCGAAAGCUUGACGGAGCAACGCCGCGUGAGUGAUGAAGGCCUUCGGAUCGUAAAGCCCUGUUAUUGGGGAAGAACAAAUGUGUACGUAACCGUGGACGUCUUGACGGUACCUAAAGAAAAAGCCCCGGCUAACUACGUG